GACGAACGCUGGCGGCGUGCCUAAUACAUGCAAGUAGAACGUUGAAGGAGGAGCUUGCUUCUCCGGAUGAGUUGCGAACGGGUGAGUAACGCGUAGGUAACCUGCCUGGUAGCGGGGGAUAACUAUUGGAAACGAUAGCUAAUACCGCAUAAGAGUAGAUGUUGCAUGACAUUUGCUUAAAAGGUGCAAUUGCAUCACUACCAGAUGGACCUGCGUUGUAUUAGCUAGUUGGUGGGGUAACGGCUCACCAAGGCGACGAUACAUAGCCGACCUGAGAGGGUGAUCGGCCACACUGGGACUGGGACACGGCCCAGACUCCUACGGGAGGCAGCAGUAGGGAAUCUUCGGCAAUGGACGGAAGUCUGACCGAGCAACGCCGCGUGAGUGAAGAAGGGUUUCGGAUCGUAAAGCUCUGUUGUAAGAGAAGAACGAGUGUGAGAGUGGAAAGUUCACACUGUGACGGUACCUAAACAGAAAGCGACGGCUAACUACGUG
Molecule: ribosomal RNA, 495 nt
Filed under: uncultured bacterium
Lineage: Bacteria
Description: partial 16S ribosomal RNA
Rfam family: Bacterial small subunit ribosomal RNA
Source: RNAcentral